GAUUUCAUUUGUGAUUGUUUAGAAAUUAUGUCGAGUAGAGUACUUUAUAAAAUUACAUAUGCGAUGUGAAAAAUUAAACGUCAAACUUUAUAUCUGUUUUUCAACUUUAAAUUUUUUAUUAUUAGCUUGGUGAUAAUAUCAAGCUAAGUUUUAUACUAUAAAUUCGAUUAUUUAAUAAUAAGGUUAAAAAUACCUAGUUAUAAAAAACUUGUUCAAAAUUUCAUGUAUUUGUUUUAUAGUUAAUGUAAAGGUUGAUUAAUACCAAUUUUUAGUAUUUAAUUAUUUUUGAAUAAGUAAUAACAAAAAUUUAAUCAUUUCUCAAGUUUUGCCCGUCUGUUUAUUAAAAACAUUUCCAUAUUUUAUUAUAUAUGGUAGUACCUGCUCUAUGUUUAUUAUAAAUGGCCGCAGUAUCUUGACUGUGCGAAGGUAGCAUAAUUAAUUGCCUUAUAAUUAAAGGCUUGUUUGAAUGGUUUGACGAGGUAAACCACAAAGUUUAAUUUUUAUUUGAAAUUUAUCUAGAGGGCACAGAAUCCUCUAUUAUUAAUUAGACGGAAAGACCCCAGGAUCUUUCUUUUUUGUCUGGGGCAGAUUAGUAUAUUUUAUACUCAUUUUGAUCCUUAUUAAAGUAUAAUGAUUUAAGUUACCCUGGGGAUAACAGUGUAAUAGUUUAGUAGAGUUCUUAUCGAAUAAACUGUUUGCUACCUCGAUGUUGACUUAGAUAAAUAGUUUAGGCGCAGUAGUCUAU
This 745-nucleotide ribosomal RNA is filed under the name Proteocephalus misgurni. RNAcentral describes it as "partial 16S ribosomal RNA". The record is from RNAcentral. Lineage: Eukaryota; Metazoa; Platyhelminthes; Cestoda; Proteocephalidea; Proteocephalidae.